UACGUAGGGUGCAAGCGUUGUCCGGAAUUAUUGGGCGUAAAGGGCUCGUAGGCGGUCUGUCACGUCGGGAGUGAAAACUCGGGGCUUAACCCCGAGCCUGCUUCCGAUACGGGCAGACUAGAGGUAUGCAGGGGAGAAUGGAAUUCCUGGUGUAGCGGUGAAAUGCGCAGAUAUCAGGAGGAACACCGGUGGCGAAGGCGGUUCUCUGGGCCUGACCUGACGCUGAGGAGCGAAAGCGUGGGGAGCGAACAGG
RNAcentral lists this ribosomal RNA (253 nucleotides) under uncultured bacterium. RNAcentral's name for it is "partial 16S ribosomal RNA". It matches the Rfam family "Bacterial small subunit ribosomal RNA", at positions 524 to 776 of the family's 1533-position model. The record is from RNAcentral.